RNAcentral lists this transfer RNA (66 nucleotides) under Fundulopanchax sjostedti. RNAcentral describes it as "tRNA-Cys". It matches the Rfam family "tRNA". From Rfam's summary of the family: Transfer RNA (tRNA) molecules are approximately 80 nucleotides in length. Lineage: Eukaryota; Metazoa; Chordata; Actinopteri; Cyprinodontiformes; Nothobranchiidae. The record is from RNAcentral.
AGCUUUGAGGUGUUACCACAUAUGAUUGCAAAUCAUAAGUAGCAGGUUUGUUUCCUGCCUGGGCUU